AACGAACGCUGGCGGCAUGCCUAACACAUGCAAGUCGAACGAGACCUUCGGGUCUAGUGGCGCACGGGUGCGUAACGCGUGGGAACCUGCCCUUAGGUUCGGAAUAACUCCCCGAAAGGGGUGCUAAUACCGGAUAAUGUCUUCGGACCAAAGAUUUAUCGACUUUGGAUGGGCCCGCGUUGGAUUAGCUAGUUGGUAGGGUAAAAGCCUACCAAGGCGACGCUCCAUAGCUGGUCUGAGAGGAUGAUCAGCCACACUGGGACUGAGACACGGCCCAGACUCCUACGGGAGGCAGCAGUGGGGAAUAUUGGACAAUCGGCGAAAGCCUGAUCCAGCAAUGCCGCGUGAGUGAUGAAGGCCUUAGGGUUGUAAAGCUCUUUUACCCGGGAUGAUAAUGACAGUACCGGGAGAAUAAGCUCCGGCUAACUCCGUG
This 433-nucleotide ribosomal RNA is filed under the name uncultured bacterium. Its description in RNAcentral is "partial 16S ribosomal RNA". It matches the Rfam family "Bacterial small subunit ribosomal RNA", at positions 29 to 507 of the family's 1533-position model. The record is from RNAcentral.